This 253-nucleotide ribosomal RNA is filed under the name uncultured bacterium. RNAcentral describes it as "partial 16S ribosomal RNA". It matches the Rfam family "Bacterial small subunit ribosomal RNA", at positions 524 to 776 of the family's 1533-position model. The record is from RNAcentral.
UACGAAGGGGGCUAGCGUUGUUCGGAAUUACUUGGCGUAAAGCGCACGUAGGCGGAUUGUUAAGUCAGAGGUGAAAUCCCGGAGCUCAACUUCGGAACUGCCAUUGAUACUAUCAAUCUUGAAUACCGUGGAGGUCAGCGGAAUAUGUCAUGUAGCGGUGAAAUGCUUAGAUAUGACAUAGAACACCAAUUGCGAAGGCAGCUGGCUACACGAAUAUUGACACUGAUGCACGAAAGCGUGGGGAGCAAACAGG